RNAcentral lists this long non-coding RNA (408 nucleotides) under Spirodela polyrhiza (greater duckweed). RNAcentral's name for it is "long non-coding RNA (SPOL_LNC000192)". Lineage: Eukaryota; Viridiplantae; Streptophyta; Magnoliopsida; Alismatales; Araceae. The record is from RNAcentral.
AGACAUUCCGUCGAGUUCUCCUCCCCCCACUCUCUCUCUCUCUCUCUCUCUCUCGGCAUACAAUUAUAUAUUGGUGGCUAGAUAUCUUCACCCUAAACCGACUCUUGGUGGCCCAUGUGAAGCUCUCCUUUUUCUCUCUCUCGCGCUCUACCCAUUUUUAAAAGUUACUCGACAGUAACAUGUGAAGUGCUUUUCUCUCACUCUCUCCAUAUCGACGCUCUAAGCUAAUACAGUCGGUGGCCGGUGCGAAGCUCCAUGUCCCACCUGAAAGCACUCAAUCUCUUCCUCUAAAUCUAUGACCGUCGGUGACGCACCCACCCACCGGCGGAAGAGAAAACCGGCCGCCCUCUUUUUCUCUCUCAUACUCUCUAGCCCUGAGCUUCUUUCUCCUUGUGGCGGGCAGAGUGC